RNAcentral lists this ribosomal RNA (254 nucleotides) under uncultured bacterium. RNAcentral's name for it is "partial 16S ribosomal RNA". It matches the Rfam family "Bacterial small subunit ribosomal RNA", at positions 524 to 776 of the family's 1533-position model. The record is from RNAcentral.
UACGUAGGGUGCGAGCGUUAAUCGGAAUUACUGGGCGUAAAGCGUGCGCAGGCGGUUUUGUAAGUCUGACGUGAAAGCCCCGGGCUUAACCUGGGAAUUGCGCUUGAUACUCUGAGACUGGAGUACGGGAGAGGAGAGUGGAAUUCCCAGUGUAGAGGUGAAAUUCGUAGAUAUUGGGAAGAACACCAGUGGCGAAGGCGGCUCUCGUGGACCGUAACUGACGCUGAGGCGCGAAAGCGUGGGGAGCAAACAGG